UACGUAGGGUGCAAGCGUUAAUCGGAAUUACUGGGCGUAAAGCGUGCGCAGGCGGUUGUGUAUGACAGAUGUGAAAUCCCCGGGCUCAACCUGGGAACUGCACUUGUGACUGCACAGCUGGAGUGCGGCAGAGGGGGAUGGAAUUCCGCGUGUAGCAGUGAAAUGCGUAGAUAUGCGGAGGAACACCGAUGGCGAAGGCAAUCCCCUGGGCCUGCACUGACGCUCAUGCACGAAAGCGUGGGGAGCAAACAGG
Molecule: ribosomal RNA, 253 nt
Filed under: uncultured bacterium
Lineage: Bacteria
Description: partial 16S ribosomal RNA
Rfam family: Bacterial small subunit ribosomal RNA
Source: RNAcentral